Long non-coding RNA from Xenopus tropicalis (tropical clawed frog), 1879 nucleotides. RefSeq lists it as uncharacterized. Lineage: Eukaryota; Metazoa; Chordata; Amphibia; Anura; Pipidae. The transcript has 2 exons. The record is from RefSeq and is a predicted model, not a curated record.
CGGGGAGGGUAGGGAGGGGCCCAGGCCCCACGGGGAGGGUAGGAAGGGGCCCACUGCCCCUCAUCCCCUCAGCGGUACCAGCAGAACCAGCCUUUGCACUGAGCCCAGUGUAGCCCAACUAUCUCCGAUCCACUUUCUAGAGCAGAACCAGCUGCCCCCAUCUUGCCCAUCUACCCAAGAACUGCCUCCAUCUUGCCCAUCUACCCCCAACAACUACCCCCAUGUUCUUUCAGUGAAAGCACUGACCAUCCAACCAUUUAGUGCCCAGCAAAGCAAAUGCCCCUUACUCACUGGCCGCCAUUCCCCUUAGAGCUGUUAGUUGCCCCCCCGGUACCUGUAUGAGUGGAGAUGCCCCUGGGUGCCCUGAGCCCCACUCUCUGCUUCUGCCUAUGGAGACUUCUGCCUACAUUCCAAGGUGACGCGUCACCGCCGUGACAUCAUAACGUGAGCACCAUGUGACUUCCUGUCGUCUUGUGACGUGACAUCCUGUCCGUGAGAUCCUUAGUACCACACUGGGGGUUCUGGGGGCAGAGAGUCGUUUCAUUUGAGGAAGAAGUACUGUAUAUAUUACAUGGGAGUCAGGGGGAGUGGCACAUUGGUAACUGGGGGAGGGGCUAAUGGAAUGAUGGGCGUGUUUGUCUCAAGGGGCGUGUCAAAAGCGCCUAAAGGUGAAGCCAACCACUGUUGGACGUGAGGCACAAAACAAUUCAUUGUGUUUCAUUUGUAAAGAUCCAAAAGCAAAGUGGGUCAGUCUGUCCCCGGCCCUGUGAUUGGGUAGGGGGUUGUUUAUCCAGACUCCCCCUCCCGAAUGGAUUCCACUUGGCCUCGAAUGAGCGGCGCUCCUGCCCGGCUGUUGGUUCUACUGUGUCGUGUGCUACAUUGUGUGUAAUUGUGGCCCCCAGUGUACAGAACGCAUGCACUGUAUUGUCUCUAUACAGGAGGUGUGGCCCUUACUGUGCCCUACUGGGAGCCAUUACAGGGGCCCCUGUCCGUGUUUGUGACCCAGUCCUGUGGUUCCGUAACGUUAAGUGAAGGGUUCUGUGCUGCUUGUCUCCCUGUAUCCCCCCCAGAGUCCGGCAGCAGCGGCUACAGGGGGACUCAUGGGUUAAACUGCUCCGCUGCCCAACAGAGCUGGCACUACAAUGGCAACUAGGUUCCCAUGGGUUAAACUGCUCCGCUGGACAACAGAGCUGGCACUUCAAUGGCCACUAGGUUCCCAUGGGUUAAACUGCUCCGCUGCCCAACAGAGCUGGCACUUCAAUGGCAACUAGGUUCCCAUGGGUUAAACUGCUCCGCUGGACAACAGAGCUGGCACUUUAAUGGCCACUAGGUUCCCAUGGGUUAAACUGCUCCGCUGGACAACAGAGCUGGCACUUCAAUGGCCACUAGGUUCCCAUGGGUUAAACUGCUCCGCUGCCCAACAGAGCUGGCACUACAAUGGCCACUAGGUUCCCAUGGGUUAAACUGCUCCGCUGGACAACAGAGCUGGCACUUUAAUGGCCACUAGGUUCCGCUCGCAAACUCAAACAAGCUUCUGCUUUUAUGGUCAUUGGCUAAAGGGCAAGUAAAGCAAAGCCAACAACUUUAGGUUCCACCCCUGCGGAGCGGCUGGGAAAUGGGCAGAACCAAUAGGCAGCUGAAGCCCUGCAGGGGGAGGAGCUUAACACCCCCCCUGUGCCGCUGCUACCGGACUGGCCACUCCCCUGGGCACAUUCAUGUUUGAUGUAACCAGUUGUGUUGUUGGGGCUCACAAGGCUUUGUGUAGGCGUGUCCGUGCUGUGUGUGGGUGUGUCAGUAUUGUGUGUGGGCGUGGCCAUGUUGUGUCACAACGUUUGUAUCAGUGUCUUGUCCUUUAUUUUUAAUAAAGUCACUAAAUUAC